GUGAGUCAUCGAAUCUUUGAACGCACAUUGCGCCCUUUGGUAUUCCGAAGGGCAUGCCUGUUCGAGCGUCAUUUAAACUCUCAAGCUCUGCUUGGUAUUGGAAGCGGUCGCUUGACCCUUCUGCAACACGUUGAGCGUGACCAUCCGGCUUCAAGCGUAGCAAAACCCUCGCUUAGAUGUCUGGUGGCCUCCGCCAAUGAAUAUCACUUCAAGUUUGACCUCGGAUCAGGUAGGGAUACCCGCUGAACUUAAGCAUAUCAAUAAGCGGAGGA
This 272-nucleotide unclassified non-coding RNA is filed under the name Ascomycota sp. RNAcentral describes it as "partial contains 5.8S ribosomal RNA, internal transcribed spacer 2, and large subunit ribosomal RNA". The stretch from base 1 to 71 matches the Rfam family "5.8S ribosomal RNA", at positions 84 to 154 of the family's 154-position model. The record is from RNAcentral. Lineage: Eukaryota; Fungi; Ascomycota.